UUACAGCCAUAUCAUGUUGAAACACUGUGUCCAGUAUGAUCACAGAAGUUAAGCAAGAAGUUAAGUUCAGUACCAAGAUGGGUGACCGCUUGGGAAUAUCAGGUGCUGUA
Acanthosepion pharaonis is the source of this 110-nucleotide non-coding RNA. The record is from the annotation of a GenBank genome assembly. NCBI's taxonomy places the organism in Eukaryota, Metazoa, Mollusca, Cephalopoda, Sepiida, Sepiidae.